GGAAUUUAUUUUUUUGCAUUUCAUUCAAUGUACCAGAUGGCAUAAGCAUAUCAUGAUCGAAAACUGCCAUUAAAUCAAUGCACCAAAUGGAAAAAGAAGAUCAUUACAGAAGGCUGCCACUGAAUCAUUUAAUAUAUUUGCCCAUUAAAGAAAAAUGUGCGCCCAUAUAAGAAUACCUGCUGAAAAGAUGUACCAAUGGGCCUCAAUAUUUGU
This 213-nucleotide unclassified non-coding RNA is filed under the name Hevea brasiliensis (rubber tree). The record is from RNAcentral. Lineage: Eukaryota; Viridiplantae; Streptophyta; Magnoliopsida; Malpighiales; Euphorbiaceae.